RNAcentral lists this transfer RNA (71 nucleotides) under Praomys morio. Its description in RNAcentral is "tRNA-Gln". It matches the Rfam family "tRNA". Rfam says of the family: Transfer RNA (tRNA) molecules are approximately 80 nucleotides in length. Their secondary structure includes four short double-helical elements and three loops (D, anti-codon, and T loops). The record is from RNAcentral. Lineage: Eukaryota; Metazoa; Chordata; Mammalia; Rodentia; Muridae.
UAGGAUAUGGUGUAUAGGUGGCACGAAGAACUUUGAAUUCUUAAGUUUAGGUUCAAUUCCUAUUAUUCUAG